UGCUUCCUUUCUCAGCUGAACCCCUGCCUCUGGAGCUUCCGGCAGUGCCCUCUGAGGUGGAGCUGCAGC
RNAcentral lists this microRNA precursor (69 nucleotides) under Cercocebus atys (sooty mangabey). RNAcentral describes it as "miRNA (ENSCATG00000008736.1)". Lineage: Eukaryota; Metazoa; Chordata; Mammalia; Primates; Cercopithecidae. The record is from RNAcentral.